This 283-nucleotide ribosomal RNA is filed under the name uncultured bacterium. RNAcentral describes it as "partial 16S ribosomal RNA". It matches the Rfam family "Bacterial small subunit ribosomal RNA", at positions 335 to 635 of the family's 1533-position model. The record is from RNAcentral.
GUUCCUACGGGACGCAGCAGUGGGGGAUAUUGCACAAUGGGGGGAACCCUGAUGCAGCGACGCCGCGUGGGUGAGGAAGUACCCCGGUAUGUAAAGCCCUUUCGGCAGGGAAGAAAAUGACGGUACCUGGCGAAGAAGCCCCGGCUAACUACGUGCCAGCAGCCGCGGUAAUACGUAGGGGGCAAGCGUUAUCCGGAUUUACUGGGUGUAAAGGGAGCGUAGACGGCGAUGCAAGCCAGAUGUGAAAGCCCGGGGCUCAACCCCGGGACUGCAUUUGGAACUG